Molecule: ribosomal RNA, 253 nt
Filed under: uncultured bacterium
Lineage: Bacteria
Description: partial 16S ribosomal RNA
Rfam family: Bacterial small subunit ribosomal RNA
Source: RNAcentral
UACGUAGGGUGCAGGCAUUAAUCGGAAUUACUGGGCGUAAAGCGUGCGCAGGCGGUUUCUUAAGUCAGAUGUGAAAGCCCCGGGCUUAACCUGGGAACUGCGUUUGAAACUGGGAGACUGGAGUGUGGCAGAGGGGGGUGGAAUUCCACGUGUAGCAGUGAAAUGCGUAGAUAUGUGGAGGAACACCGAUGGCGAAGGCAGCCCCCUGGGUUAACACUGACGCUCAUGCACGAAAGCGUGGGGAGCAAACAGG